Molecule: RNA transcript, 2151 nt
Organism: Biomphalaria glabrata
Lineage: Eukaryota; Metazoa; Mollusca; Gastropoda; Planorbidae
Gene name: RNA-binding protein 1-like
Exons: 6
Source: RefSeq, a predicted model, not a curated record
CCGCAGGUGAACUAAAAUAUAAUUUACAUGUAGGCUAAUUUAUUUUAGCCUUUUUGUAUGGGGCUAUUGUUUUUUUGCAUUAGGCCAAGCACGCCUAUCUGGCACAAGAAUUAACUGGCAAGUAUGCGGUGCUUUCAACCACUCAAUAUGUCAAGGAAUGCUCCUAUGAGAGACUGGAGCUUGGACUGUAAGGUUUAUGUAGGUGAUUUGGGCUAUGGAUGUGCUAAGCAAGAACUAGAAGAAAAAUUCUCUAAAUAUGGUCAGCUGCGUAAUGUUUGGGUUGCCCGCAAGCCUCCAGGCUUUGCAUUUGUAGAAUUUGAGGACAGUAGGGAUGCAGAAGAUGCAGUUAGGGCAUUAGAUGGAUCCAAAAUUAAUGGUCGCCGUGUGAGAGUAGAAAUGUCCUCAGGACGCUCUAGAUGGAGUAAUAGAGGCGGGCCAGGUAGAGGUGGAGGCAGGCAACAACAGAAUGAUAACUAUAGAGGAGGGGGAGGAGGCGGAGGUGGAAGAAGGUCAAGGGUCAUCACCAUCAGCUGGGUACACCACUGCCAGCCCCACCACCACCACUACUAGCACCAACUUCCUUCACCACUACUACUACUACUACCACCUACAUCAUCAACUCAGCCAACUCCACCGUCGGGGGCUCCAACUCCACAAAAAAACAAACAACUCCGUAGCUGCUGUCAGCAUCCCCAACUAAAAAGCAAAUUAUGCCAUCAGCCUUUGCACCGCCAGCCGACAAAAGUAUAUUGCAGAAUCCACAUUUUAUUGCUCUGGAAUCAGCAGAUAUAUUUCAUCAAAACUGCCUUUGACAUGCCCCAGUUUUCUAAAUAGCAUUUUUUUUUAAAGUGAAAAGUUCUUAUUCAUAGCAGAGAUGUAAUAUUUACCUUUCACUCAAAUGCUGUUAAAGAUUUUAUUUGAUAAUUUUUAUAUAUUUAUAUUUUUCAAUAUUAAAAAAAAAAUUAAACUAAUAAAAAAAAAUUACUUCAAAAAUAGACAAAAAAUUAAAAUAAAAAAAAAUUACACUUGUGGGCAGUAAGUUGAAUCAAUUGUGGCAUGUUUAAUCAACUUUAACCUCAACUGGGUCUUCGGGGAGCGCUGCCUUUCCACUACCACAGUACCUCAUCUUCAUUUUAAUCAACCAACAACUGAUCUUCGUAUGGUAUCUUCGUUGUACAAUGAUCUUUCUCACCUCGUAGACAUUCUCGCAGUCAUAGUGCAUCAGCUUCACCGAGAAGAAGAAGCAGGAGCAGGAGCUAGACAAGAAGUUCUAUUUCUCAACAUUGUCCAUGUGUGCUAGUGCUGGCAUCUGAUUACCUCCAUCCAGUAUUUUUUUUUUUUUUUAAAAGGAAUGUUCAAAAAGUACACUAAAUAUUCUCAUAAACAAAUUUUCAGGAGUUGAGAGCUUUCAUCAUUAUCAUAAUAUAUAGUUUCUAUCUCCUCCCCCCCUCCCAACCAAAACAUGUAAUUUAUACAAUUUUGAAGUAUUUUUAUAAAAAUGUAAUUUAUUUAUUUCAAUCAAAAAGGUAAAUGUCUAGUUAGGUCUCCCUUGUUUCAAACUCCACAUUCAUUUUCCCAGUAUAGUUGUAAGAAGUCAAUGAAUCACAAUUUUCUAUUGACCAUCCUGUGAAUGUAUUCCUAAUGUGACACUGUUUGGACACUUGUGCUUGAGUUUUUUGAAGCUGUUGUGAAAGUACCUAUUCAUCUCAAUAAUUUUUAAUAACUCUAUUGAGGGCAUUUAUUAUUAUUCACUGUGUAUAUAUUUAUCUAUGUCCAUAUCAUGUUAAACAUGUUAUCUGUGUUGAAUUCAAAAGUGCAAACAAAAUAACAUAACUUAAUGAGAUAAAUUUUUUUUUUUAAUUAUUAUUCAAGGUAAAUAUUGUGACUUAACAUGUCUUGUCAUUUUAGUUUGAACCUAUCAAACUUUAUUUUAACUACAUGUUCGGUUGUUAAAUUAAAUGCAGUUUUAGACUUGAAACAUUUGACAUUAUCAACCAUUAAUUCAAACACUACUUUUUAUAAUUUUUCAAACACAUCCAUUACUAGCUUUUUUAAAAUUAUUAUUAUUUAUAUUAAUUUUUUUUCUCCUUAAAACAAAUAUGUCAUUGAUAUAAUUAAUGUAAAAUUGAAAUAAAUUGUGCUGAAUUUUUC